RNAcentral lists this transfer RNA (72 nucleotides) under Acinetobacter sp. CUI P1. RNAcentral's name for it is "tRNA-Ser". It matches the Rfam family "tRNA". Rfam says of the family: Transfer RNA (tRNA) molecules are approximately 80 nucleotides in length. Their secondary structure includes four short double-helical elements and three loops (D, anti-codon, and T loops). The record is from RNAcentral. RNAcentral also lists the same sequence under 2 other names. Lineage: Bacteria; Pseudomonadati; Pseudomonadota; Gammaproteobacteria; Moraxellales; Moraxellaceae.
GAGGGUGUAGUUUAAAGUAGAACAGCAAUUCGUUGAGAGUUGCUAGUGUAGGUUCAACUCCUAUCUCCCUCG